CGUGAAGAAGUCCUCAAGGAGAAUUCCCUUCCAGGUAGACGUGAAGAAAUCCACAGAAGGGCAGGUGAUGGGCAGGUGAUGGGCAGGUGAAGGGCAGGUGAUGGGCAGGUGAUGGGCUUGUCAGAUGUACAAUGUACAUUGUAGAGAGAAAACUGUCACCGAUCAAAAGGGCAGGUUCUCCAGCACCCCUACAGCCCAAUCUGUGCACGUGCCUGGGUGAAGGACAGCUUUCCCUCCAUAUAGAGAGGCUCCUGAACCACCCCUCCCCCCAAAAAGAUGAGAUCAAAUCAAACAAUUUAAUCAAAUGUGUAUCUACAGUAUAAAUAAAGCCAUUUUUACAUCAACAGACAGAUAAAAUGUUGCGGGGAGUGUGUUAGAUAUCAUUUAUAAAUGCCAAAGAAAACAGCAACAUGAAUUAAGACAAACUAAAUCAUGUAAAAGUCUCUCACCAUCUCUUUCCUCGUCUUCAUCUCGAUCUUCAUGCCCCCAGUCUUCCUCACUGUGUUGGUCAUAUUCACUGGGAUCAUGGCUGUACUGGGGAAUCAGCACAUGGUGAAGCCUGUCCUGUCUGGUCACAACGUUAUGAAUUAUUAAUAACAUCAAACAUUUAUAUUAUUAUUAUUAUUUUUAUUAUUAUUAUUAUUAUUUUUUUUUUUUUUUUUACAUAUCUUUGGUACCAGGAAUCGAAACCACUAUCCUGACAUUGCAAACAUCAUAUUGUACUAACUGAGCUACAGAGAACAUAUGUUAUCAAGACCAUGAUACAGGGAAAAAAAACAGACUAGCCAUCAAUUAAGGCACCACUCACUCACAACUGUCCGUGAUGAAACUCAUUUCAUUUUCCUUCCUAUGUAAACGACCUGGAAGAGUGAAGAACAACACAAAGUGUUUGUGAUGCCGUACGACACCGAGGUUGAAAUAGCAUGUCAAACAAAACCAACCAAGUCCUCUCCUCUCGCCCGUCCCCCAGUGACAAGUAUGGCUGAAUUCCAGACGGACCCCUAGCCGCUACUCUUUAG
Long non-coding RNA from Oncorhynchus tshawytscha (Chinook salmon), 1019 nucleotides. The record is from Ensembl. Lineage: Eukaryota; Metazoa; Chordata; Actinopteri; Salmoniformes; Salmonidae.